RNAcentral lists this transfer RNA (72 nucleotides) under Phrynosoma platyrhinos (Desert horned lizard). RNAcentral describes it as "tRNA-OTHER". Lineage: Eukaryota; Metazoa; Chordata; Lepidosauria; Squamata; Phrynosomatidae. The record is from RNAcentral.
GUUAGUGUGGCAUAGUGGUUUGCGUGUUGGACUUCAACUCUGGAAACCAAGGUUUGAUUCCCUGCUUGGCCA